GAGUUUGAUCCUGGCUCAGGACGAACGCUGGCGGCGUGCUUAACACAUGCAAGUCGAACGAGGCAGCGGCCUUCGGGCCGUUGUCGAGUGGCGAACGGGUGAGUAACACGUGAGAAACCUGCCCCGGAGACCGGGAUAACCAGGGGAAACUCUGGCUAAUACCGGAUGCCCCCGGAUGGCCGCAUGGCCAACCGAGGAAACGCUCCGGUGUUCCGGGAGGGUCUCGCGGCCUAUCAGCUUGUUGGUGGGGUAACGGCCCACCAAGGCAUCGACGGGUAGCUGGUCUGAGAGGACGAUCAGCCACACUGGGACUGAGACACGGCCCAGACUCCUACGGGAGGCAGCAGUGGGGAAUAUUGCGCAAUGGGCGAAAGCCUGACGCAGCAACGCCGCGUGGGGGAUGACGGCCUUCGGGUUGUAAACCCCUUUCAGCAGGGACGAAAAUGACGGUACCUGCAGAAGAAGCCCCGGCCAACUACGUGCCAGCAGCCGCGGUAACACGUAGGGGGCAAGCGUUGUCCGGAUUUAUUGGGCGUAAAGAGCUCGUAGGCAGUUGCGUAAGUCGGAUGUGAAAACUCAGGGCUCAACCCGGAGACGCCAUUCGAUACUGCGCUGACUAGAGUCCGGUAGGGGAGCAUGGAAUUCCUGGUGUAGCGGUGAAAUGCGCAGAUAUCAGGAGGAACACCAGUGGCGAAGGCGGUGCUCUGGGCCGGAACUGACGCUGAGGAGCGAAAGCGUGGGUAGCGAACAGGAUUAGAUACCCUGGUAGUCA
RNAcentral lists this ribosomal RNA (772 nucleotides) under uncultured Gram-positive bacterium. Its description in RNAcentral is "bacterial SSU rRNA". It matches the Rfam family "Bacterial small subunit ribosomal RNA", at positions 9 to 796 of the family's 1533-position model. The record is from RNAcentral.